This 45-nucleotide non-coding RNA is filed under the name Trichobilharzia regenti. The record is from RNAcentral. Lineage: Eukaryota; Metazoa; Platyhelminthes; Trematoda; Strigeidida; Schistosomatidae.
CUCGGGUUGACGAGUCUCAGAUAGGACGAAAUGCGCGUCCUGGAU